UGGCCUUUCUGAGUCUGGAAUGAUCACUCC
RNAcentral lists this non-coding RNA (30 nucleotides) under Mus musculus (house mouse). The record is from RNAcentral. Lineage: Eukaryota; Metazoa; Chordata; Mammalia; Rodentia; Muridae.